Molecule: ribosomal RNA, 190 nt
Filed under: uncultured bacterium
Lineage: Bacteria
Description: partial 16S ribosomal RNA
Rfam family: Bacterial small subunit ribosomal RNA
Source: RNAcentral
CCUACGGGAGGCAGCAGUGAGGAAUAUUGGUCAAUGGGCGCAAGCCUGAUCCAGCCAUGCCGCGUGCAGGAAGAAGCAUCUAUGGUGUGUAAACUGCUUUUGUACGGGAAGAAACACUCCUUCGUGAAGGAGCUUGACGGUACCGUAAGAAUAAGGAUCGGCUAACUCCGUGCCAGCAGCCGCGGUAAUA